GAUGCACAGACCUUGCCCUGGCUGUCUGCACAGGGCUGAAUUUCACCCCUUCUGAGUUGCUGAGCAGAUGCUACACUGUAAGAAAUGGAAACAGAAGCAAAAAUUGAAAGACUGUUACUAAAACCAAUGAACAGCUGCAGAGAGUGGAGACCCGGCAAAGCAGACAAAUGAAUACUGAAAGGGAUCCCCAAAGGAGGUGCAAGGAUCCGGGACUCUAGUGUCUGCCAGAAGCUUCAGCCACCUUCACAGGUUAGAGCUCGCCGUCCAUUGCGGAGGUGAAGACCGGAUGGGAGCUGCUGGAUUGACCUUGAUGUGCCAUGUCCUUGUGUGGAUGAAGGACCUACAUCUCAGGGGUGACCAGCAGCAGAUGUAACACC
Mauremys mutica (yellowpond turtle) is the source of this 377-nucleotide long non-coding RNA. RefSeq lists it as uncharacterized. The record is from RefSeq and is a predicted model, not a curated record. Lineage: Eukaryota; Metazoa; Chordata; Testudines; Geoemydidae. The transcript has 4 exons.